CGGGAGGCUGCAGCAGUGAGGAAUAUUGCACAAUGGGGGGAACCCUGAUGCAGCAACGCCGCGUGGAGGAUGACGCAUUUCGGUGUGUAAACUCCUUUUAUAUGUCAAGAAAAUGACGGUAGCAUAUGAAUAAGCACCGGCUAACUCCGUGCCAGCAGCCGCGGUAAUACGGAGGGUGCAAGCGUUACUCGGAAUCACUGGGCGUAAAGGACGCGUAGGCGGGUUGGAAAGUCAGGCGUGAAAUCCUACAGCUUAACUGUAGAACUGCACUUGAAACUUCUAAUCUAGAGUAUGGGAGGGGGAGAUGGAAUUAGUGGUGUAGGGGUAAAAUCCGUAGAUAUCACUAGGAAUACCUAAAGCGAAGGCGAUCUCCUGGAACAUUACUGACGCUAAGGCGUGAAAGCGUGGGGAGCAAACAGGAUUAGAUACCCCCGUAGUC
This 439-nucleotide ribosomal RNA is filed under the name uncultured bacterium. RNAcentral describes it as "partial 16S ribosomal RNA". It matches the Rfam family "Bacterial small subunit ribosomal RNA", at positions 342 to 795 of the family's 1533-position model. The record is from RNAcentral.